GAUGAACGCUGGCGGCGUGCCUAAUACAUGCAAGUCGAGCGAACAGACGAGGAGCUUGCUCCUCUGACGUUAGCGGCGGACGGGUGAGUAACACGUGGAUAACCUACCUAUAAGACUGGGAUAACUUCGGGAAACCGGAGCUAAUACCGGAUAAUAUAUUGAACCGCAUGGUUCAAUAGUGAAAGACGGUUUUGCUGUCACUUAUAGAUGGAUCCGCGCCGCAGUAGCUAGUUGGUAAGGUAACGGCUUACCAAGGCGACGAUGCGUAGCCGACCUGAGAGGGUGAUCGGCCACACUGGAGCGGAGACACGGUCCAGACUCCUACGGGAGGCAGCAGUAGGGAAUCUUCCGCAAUGGGCGAAAGCCUGACGGAGCAACGCCGCGUGAGUGAUGAAGGUCUUCGGAUCGUAAAACUCUGUUAUUAGGGAAGAACAAAUGUGUAAGUAACUAUGCACGUCUUGACGGUACCUAAUCAGAAAGCCACGGCUAACUACGUG
RNAcentral lists this ribosomal RNA (497 nucleotides) under uncultured bacterium. RNAcentral describes it as "partial 16S ribosomal RNA". It matches the Rfam family "Bacterial small subunit ribosomal RNA", at positions 28 to 507 of the family's 1533-position model. The record is from RNAcentral.